This 254-nucleotide ribosomal RNA is filed under the name uncultured bacterium. RNAcentral describes it as "partial 16S ribosomal RNA". It matches the Rfam family "Bacterial small subunit ribosomal RNA", at positions 524 to 776 of the family's 1533-position model. The record is from RNAcentral. RNAcentral also lists the same sequence under 1 other name.
UACAGAGGUGGCAAGCGUUGUUCGGAAUUACUGGGCGUAAAGGGCGCGUAGGCGGCCUUGUAAGUCUCGUGUGAAAGCCCUCGGCUUAACUGAGGAUCUGCACGGGAUACUGCGAGGCUUGAGUUCGGGAGAGGAAAGCGGAAUUCCGGGUGUAGCGGUGAAAUGCGUAGAUAUCCGGAGGAACACCAGUGGCGAAGGCGGCUUUCUGGACCGACACUGACGCUGAGUGCGCGAAAGCUAGGGGAGCAAACGGG